AUCACGUCGCGCUGCGACUGAGGCGUGGCGUCUGCUGGGGCACCUGAAGGAGACUUUGGGACACCCGCGUCGUGCCUCUUGGGCUGUGAGGAGUCGCCGCUGCCGCCAGUGCCUGUGCUUCAUGAGGAAGAUGCUCGCCGCCGUCUCCCGCGUGUUGUCUGGCGCUUCUCAGAAGCCGAAGCGACGCGGACCGGGAUCCCGCCAAGGUCCUUGUGGACUUCCCCCUUCUCGACACCCCGCUCCCGCCGCCGGGCCCAGCUGUGCGCCGGGCGAAGUCAGUGUGCUCAAGAGGUUGGUUUACAGGACACGGAAAGGGUGGCCUCGGCCUCCUUCGAGUCUCCGAUUGACCCUACUCUUUUCAGAUCUUCGUAAUUUCUCUUGACCGAGAGGCUUUGUAAUAGCGUAGAAUCUGGAGACGGGGUGGCUCCGUUCAAACAGCACCCUCACCAUUGACUAAUCCUGUGACCUUGAGCAAGUUUUUAAACUUCCCGGGGACCCGGUUUCCUGAAAUGUUUGCGCUAAGUGGAGUUAAUCUCUAAGUGGAGAUAAGAGUUAUCUCUGAAAUGUUAUCGGUUAUUAAAAUGUUAUCCGUUAACUCUAAAAUGGAGAUAAGAGUCCCCACCUCUUGGGAUUGUCUUGAGGAUUCAACGAGUGACACGUGUGGAUACGAUUCCAAAUAGCACCCGGCCCAUAGUCGAUAGCACGUGUGUUGAAUAGUGUUAUUUACUGAGUGUCCCGUUCGGUAUACAUUUCUUGAACACCUGUGCUCAGUUCUGAGACGGGUUCACAGAGGGUCAGCCUCUUCAGAAACAAACUUCCCCCCCUUCCCUCUCCCUCCACAUCUGAGCUUUUCUUGGCAGUGAGUUCAGGAGUGCGGAAGCAGAACUCAGAGGACGCUGCCCUCCCCUCCCCUUACCUACACAUUCUUGGGGUACAAGUAGCUAAAGCAAACAGCAACGAUGCUCGAGGGGUGGGGGGUAGAGUCCAACACUAUGUCAUGGCCUCAGCAUUUAGAGGUGCCUAACACCUAAGCUUCUAGCAUUCUGACCCCUAGGCACAGUGAGGUCGUGUUAAUUGGUGUAACUGCAGGCCUCGGGAUUCUGGUCAUUCCCCCAGGACUUGAUACAGCUCUGAGUACAGGCAGAGAUUGUCAAAAGGUAAGAGGUCUGCCCCUCUAGGAAUCCUGUUGCCUAAAAUAAUGACAGAACUGCCGGGUGCGGUGGCUCAAGCCUGUAAUCCCAGCACUUUGGGAGGCUGAGGCGGGUGGAUCACCUGAGGGCAGAAGUUCGAGAUCAGCCUGGCCAACGUGGUGAAACCCCGUCUCUACUAAAAAUACAAAAUUAGCUGGGCAUGGUGGCGGGUUCCUGUAAUCCCAGCUACUC
This 1382-nucleotide long non-coding RNA is filed under the name Piliocolobus tephrosceles (Ugandan red Colobus). Its description in RNAcentral is "lncRNA (ENSPTEG00000004632.1)". Lineage: Eukaryota; Metazoa; Chordata; Mammalia; Primates; Cercopithecidae. The record is from RNAcentral.